Molecule: ribosomal RNA, 437 nt
Filed under: uncultured alpha proteobacterium 172-3-2
Lineage: Bacteria; Pseudomonadati; Pseudomonadota; Alphaproteobacteria
Description: bacterial SSU rRNA
Rfam family: Bacterial small subunit ribosomal RNA
Source: RNAcentral
AACGCGAAGAACCUUACCAGCCCUUGACAUCCCGGUCGCGGAUCGCAGAGAUGCUUUCCUUCAGUUCGGCUGGACCGGUGACAGGUGCUGCAUGGCUGUCGUCAGCUCGUGUCGUGAGAUGUUGGGUUAAGUCCCGCAACGAGCGCAACCCCCGCCUUCAGUUGCCAACGGUUCGGCCGUGCACUCUGGAGGAACUGCCUGUGACAAGCAGGAGGAAGGUGGGGAUGACGUCAAGUCCUCAUGGCCCUUAUGGGCUGGGCUACACACGUGCUACAAUGGCGGUGACAGAGGGAUGCAAUACCGCGAGGUGGAGCAAAUCCCUAAAAGCCGUCUCAGUUCGGAUUGUUCUCUGCAACUCGAGAGCAUGAAGUUGGAAUCGCUAGUAAUCGCGGAUCAGCUCGCCGCGGUGAAUACGUUCCCGGGCCUUGUACACACCG